UCCGGUUUGUCACCGGCAGUCUCAUUAGAGUGCCCAACUGAAUGUAGCAACUAAUGACAAGGGUUGCGCUCGUUGCGGGACUUAACCCAACAUCUCACGACACGAGCUGACGACAGCCAUGCAGCACCUGUGUGUCGGCUCCCUUUCGGGCACGCCUCCGUCUCGAGAGGCUUCCGACCAUGUCAAGGGUAGGUAAGGUGGGGAUGACGUUCGUCUGAC
RNAcentral lists this unclassified non-coding RNA (219 nucleotides) under uncultured Gammaproteobacteria bacterium. Its description in RNAcentral is "contains 16S-23S intergenic spacer region". Lineage: Bacteria; Pseudomonadati; Pseudomonadota; Gammaproteobacteria. The record is from RNAcentral.